This 255-nucleotide ribosomal RNA is filed under the name uncultured bacterium. Its description in RNAcentral is "partial 16S ribosomal RNA". It matches the Rfam family "Bacterial small subunit ribosomal RNA", at positions 524 to 776 of the family's 1533-position model. The record is from RNAcentral.
UACGGAGGGGGCUAGCGUUGUUCGGAAUCACUGGGCGUAAAGCGCACGUAGGCGGAUAUGUCAGUCAGGGGGUGAAAUCCCGGGGGCUCAACCUCGGAACUGCCUUUGAUACAGCAUAUCUUGAGUCCGAUAGAGGUGGGUGGAAUUCCUAGUGUAGAGGUGAAAUUCGUAGAUAUUAGGAAGAACACCGGUGGCGAAGGCGGCCCACUGGAUCGGUACUGACGCUGAGGUGCGAAAGCGUGGGGAGCAAACAGG